UUUAAGGGGAGCAAAUUCCUUGUUAUGUUAUCCUCUAUUGCUGCUCCAGGAGACAAAGUUUAGCUUCUGUACAGCAUCAGGUCAUCCUUGUUGACCAGCAGUGUUGAAGAUCAAACCUCUCUCUUUCCUGCUGAAUUGCUGGAUUUGGUCACAUUUAGGCUGAGAAUGUUCUGUUUCCCAAACCAAAAGGGCAUAUGAUGGAAGGAGAACUGGGUAUCACCUGUGUUAAUGCUGAAGCUCUUCAGGAUGAGAGGGGGCCUUACUUACCAUUCAAUACCCUCCCCAGGUUCUCCAGGCUCAGCUUCCUCUUUCAAGUGGAUACCAAUCUGCAAUGCCUGCAAUAGGAUAGGCUCCAGUUCCACCUCCCAGACAUGUCAUGGACACCACAGAGAACACAGCUGUGCAAGGGGAGUCCUGCUCAGUGUAUGAAAUUCAGGACCAAAAAAAAAACCAAAAAACAACUGUAUGUGCAACAAGGUGGACCAUAAACACAUGAUAAAUAAUAAAGUAAUCAUCACUUCUGAUGCAAACAAAAGCUGCAGGUUUUACAAACUACAACCACCAAGUACACUGUUAUUUUCCACAGCAAGUGGAAACCCACAUCUGUGUGUUUUAUUCACUGUCAGGGUGUGCUUUUUCUUCCUUAAAGCCAGACUGAGGUCUCUCUUAUCUGUUUUCAUGGAUUUUGACUACCUUAUCUCAGUCCCCUGUAAAAUGAAAUGAGCUCAAUAUCUUGCUUCGUUCCUUAUCCUUUGGAGUUGUGCCUUUUUCAAUCAUUGUAAGUUUGCAAGACUUUGGGUAAGUAGGUCCUAUGGGUAAGAAAGAGGCUGAGGAAUCAUUAAGCAAGAUACUCAGUAGCACACCUUUAUUGGGCUUUACAAAUCACCAGUAACUGAGACAGUCAUGGCUUGAGUUCACAAAGCAAUACCUUUAAAAAGGCAAAAGGGACCUGCUGCAGCUCUGUGUGCUGCAAACCUAGGUAGAAAGCACAUUAGAGAGAAGGAAUGAAAAAGGAAAAUAAAAAUAAAAAUAAAAAUAAAAAG
Molecule: long non-coding RNA, 1043 nt
Organism: Lepidothrix coronata (blue-crowned manakin)
Lineage: Eukaryota; Metazoa; Chordata; Aves; Passeriformes; Pipridae
Exons: 2
Source: RefSeq, a predicted model, not a curated record